GAUGAACGCUGGCGGCGUGCCUAAUACAUGCAAGUCGAGCGAACGGACGGGAAGCUUGCUUCUCUGAUGUUAGCGGCGGACGGGUGAGUAACACGUGGAUAACCUACCUAUAAGACUGGGAUAACUUCGGGAAACCGUAGCUAAUACCGGAUAAUAUUUUGAACCGCAUGGUUCAAAAGUGAAAGACGGUCUUGCUGUCACUUAUAGAUGGAUCCGCGCUGCAUUAGCUAGUUGGUAAGGUAACGGCUUACCAAGGCAACGAUGCAUAGCCGACCUGAGAGGGUGAUCGGCCACACUGGAACUGAGACACGGUCCAGACUCCUACGGGAGGCAGCAGUAGGGAAUCUUCCGCAAUGGGCGAAAGCCUGACGGAGCAACGCCGCGUGAGUGAUGAAGGUCUUCGGAUCGUAAAACUCUGUUAUUAGGGAAGAACAUAUGUGUAAGUAACUGUGCACAUCUUGACGGUACCUAAUCAGAAAGCCACGGCCAACUACGUG
Molecule: ribosomal RNA, 497 nt
Filed under: uncultured bacterium
Lineage: Bacteria
Description: partial 16S ribosomal RNA
Rfam family: Bacterial small subunit ribosomal RNA
Source: RNAcentral